This 732-nucleotide ribosomal RNA is filed under the name uncultured Leptotrichia sp. RNAcentral describes it as "bacterial SSU rRNA". It matches the Rfam family "Bacterial small subunit ribosomal RNA", at positions 28 to 776 of the family's 1533-position model. Lineage: Bacteria; Fusobacteriati; Fusobacteriota; Fusobacteriia; Fusobacteriales; Leptotrichiaceae. The record is from RNAcentral.
GAUGAACGCUGACAGAAUGCUUAACACAUGCAAGUCUUUGGCGAAGCUGUGCUUGCACAGCCUAGCCAAGGCGGACGGGUGAGUAACGCGUAAGGAACUUGCCCUGCAGUCAGGGAUAACAGACGGAAACGACUGAUAAGACCUGGUAAAGUCAGGCGGACUCAUGUCCAGCCUGAUGAAUAGAGAUGCUGCAGGAGAGCCUUGCGUCCUAUUAGCUUGUUGGUGGGGUAACGGCCCACCAAGGCGAUGAUAGGUAGCCGGCCUGAGAGGGUGGACGGCCACAAGGGGACUGAGAUACGGCCCUUACUCCUACGGGAGGCAGCAGUGGGGAAUAUUGGACAAUGGGGGCAACCCUGAUCCAGCAAUUCUGUGUGCACGAUGAAGGUUUUCGGAUUGUAAAGUGCUUUCAGCAGGGAAGAAAAAAAUGACGGUACCUGCAGAAGAAGCGACGGCUAAAUACGUGCCAGCAGCCGCGGUAAUACGUAUGUCGCAAGCGUUGUCCGGAAUUAUUGGGCAUAAAGGGCAUCUAGACGGCCAGAUAAGUCUGGGGUGAAAACUUGCGGCUCAACCGCAAGCCUGCCCUGGAAACUAUGUGGCUAGAGUACUGGAGAGGUGGACGGAACUGCACGAGUAGAGGUGAAAUUCGUAGAUAUGUGCAGGAAUGCCGAUGAUGAAGAUAGUUCACUGGACGGUAACUGACGCUGAAGUGCGAAAGCUAGGGGAGCAAACAGG